RNAcentral lists this transfer RNA (84 nucleotides) under Flavobacteriaceae bacterium Ap0902. It matches the Rfam family "tRNA". Rfam says of the family: Transfer RNA (tRNA) molecules are approximately 80 nucleotides in length. Their secondary structure includes four short double-helical elements and three loops (D, anti-codon, and T loops). Further hydrogen bonds mediate the characteristic L-shaped molecular structure. tRNAs have two regions of fundamental functional importance: the anti-codon, which is responsible for specific mRNA codon recognition, and the 3' end, to which the tRNAs corresponding amino acid is attached (by aminoacyl-tRNA synthetases). tRNAs cope with the degeneracy of the genetic code in two manners: having more than one tRNA (with a specific anti-codon) for a particular amino acid; and 'wobble' base-pairing, i.e. permitting non-standard base-pairing at the 3rd anti-codon position. The record is from Rfam by way of RNAcentral. Lineage: Bacteria; Pseudomonadati; Bacteroidota; Flavobacteriia; Flavobacteriales; Flavobacteriaceae.
GCUCACGUGGAGAAACUGGUAGACUUGCCAUCUUGAGGGGGUGGUGUUCGAAAGGACGUGCGGGUUCGAAUCCCGCCGUGAGCA